This 460-nucleotide ribosomal RNA is filed under the name Escherichia coli. Its description in RNAcentral is "bacterial SSU rRNA". It matches the Rfam family "Bacterial small subunit ribosomal RNA", at positions 1 to 455 of the family's 1533-position model. Lineage: Bacteria; Pseudomonadati; Pseudomonadota; Gammaproteobacteria; Enterobacterales; Enterobacteriaceae. The record is from RNAcentral.
UUAAAUUGAAGAGUUUGAUCAUGGCUCAGAUUGAACGCUGGCGGCAGGCCUAACACAUGCAAGUCGAACGGUAACAGGAAGAAGCUUGCUUCUUUGCUGACGAGUGGCGGACGGGUGAGUAAUGUCUGGGAAACUGCCUGAUGGAGGGGGAUAACUACUGGAAACGGUAGCUAAUACCGCAUAACGUCGCAAGACCAAAGAGGGGGACCUUCGGGCCUCUUGCCAUCGGAUGUGCCCAGAUGGGAUUAGCUAGUAGGUGGGGUAACGGCUCACCUAGGCGACGAUCCCUAGCUGGUCUGAGAGGAUGACCAGCCACACUGGAACUGAGACACGGUCCAGACUCCUACGGGAGGCAGCAGUGGGGAAUAUUGCACAAUGGGCGCAAGCCUGAUGCAGCCAUGCCGCGUGUAUGAAGAAGGCCUUCGGGUUGUAAAGUACUUUCAGCGGGGAGGAAGGGAGU